This 214-nucleotide long non-coding RNA is filed under the name Ananas comosus (pineapple). RNAcentral describes it as "long non-coding RNA (ACOM_LNC033395)". The record is from RNAcentral. Lineage: Eukaryota; Viridiplantae; Streptophyta; Magnoliopsida; Poales; Bromeliaceae.
AUGGCAUUAGUCAGUUGUGACAUUGGCGAACAUGGCAUUCUCUUAGUGAACAUGGCAUGCUCAAAGUUGUGGAUUGGAUCAUACUCACCUGUAAGUCUUGGCUUGAGGGCGGUCGCACCCCCUCGAGCGAUGAACUCCAGAAUAGUCAUCACUGGGUUGUAGUUUCCUCAGAGAAUGGUCCCGUCGGGUUGUAGGAGUAUCUCCCCGAUAGCAG